UACGGAGGGUGCAAGCGUUAAUCGGAAUUACUGGGCGUAAAGCGUGCGUAGGCGGUUUGUUAAGUCUGUUGUGAAAGCCCCGGGCUCAACCUGGGAAUGGCAAUGGAUACUGGCAAGCUAGAGUGUGUCAGAGGAUGGCGGAAUUCCCGGUGUAGCGGUGAAAUGCGUAGAGAUGGGAAGGAACACCAGUGGCGAAGGCGGCCUCCUGGACUGACACUGACGCUGAGGUGCGAAAGCGUGGGGAGCAAACAGG
This 253-nucleotide ribosomal RNA is filed under the name uncultured bacterium. RNAcentral describes it as "partial 16S ribosomal RNA". It matches the Rfam family "Bacterial small subunit ribosomal RNA", at positions 524 to 776 of the family's 1533-position model. The record is from RNAcentral.